This 727-nucleotide ribosomal RNA is filed under the name Odorrana margaretae (green odorous frog). RNAcentral describes it as "partial 12S ribosomal RNA". The stretch from base 1 to 487 matches the Rfam family "Bacterial small subunit ribosomal RNA", at positions 852 to 1533 of the family's 1533-position model. Lineage: Eukaryota; Metazoa; Chordata; Amphibia; Anura; Ranidae. The record is from RNAcentral.
AUUAAUCCACAACCAUAAGCGCCAGGGAAUUACGAGCCAAGCUUAAAACCCAAAGGAUUUGACGGUGUCCCACCCCCCUAGAGGAGCCUGUUCUAUAAUCGAUGAUCCCCGCUACACCCGACCAUUUCUUGCUUAUCAGUCUGUAUACCUCCGUCGAAAGCCUACCAUGUGAACGCCCCCACAGUAGGUUCAAUGAUCCCCGUCAAUACGUCAGGUCAAGGUGCAGCUUAAGAAAUGGGAAGUGAUGGGCUACAAUUUCUAACCUAGAACAAACGAAAGGCUAUGUGAAAUCAUAGUCACGAAGGCGGAUUUAGUAGUAAAAAGAAAAUAGAGUGUUCUUUUUAACCUGGCUCUGGGACGCGUACACACCGCCCGUCACCCUCUUCGAUAGUGCUAACCCACAGUUUAUAACCUAUUUAUACGUCUGAGAAGAGGCAAGUCGUAACAUGGUAAGUGUACUGGAAAGUGCACUUGGUAUAUUACAAAAUAUAGCUUAACAAAAGCCCCCCGCUUACACCGAGGAGUUAUCUGUUUGACCCAGAUUAUUUUGAGCCUUAAAUCUAGCCCACACAACCCGCAUGAUACUCCUCGACAUCUGUAAAAAAUAAAACAUUUUAACAUUUUAGUAUAGGCGAUAGAAAAAUUAUUAGGCGCUUUAGACAGAGUACCGCAAGGGAAACAUGAAAUAGAAAUGAAACAAUUCUUACAGCCACAAACAGCAGAGACA